CAGGUGUAUAACACGAUCUGUACAAGGAGGAACAGACAAACUGUACAGCUAUAUUUUUUAUCAAUAUCAAUACUGAAUAAUUCCUUCUUUACAACAUUAUGAAAAUCUGAUACAGGAUCAGCAGCUUGAUGGUGAACCCCGAUACCCUUUAACAAUUUGAAUGUACGAAGGAGGGCUGUGCCUUGCCAACUGCACUUCACUUUAGCAACAAUACAUUAAAAUAUAUUUUAAAUGAGAAUAAUUAAUUAAUUAAUUUAGUUAGCCCUAAAAUUAGUGUUCACACUUGUGCUUGUAACAUUUGAGGGUUAGCUGUGCCAAUCAACUGAAUCAGGAGUAAAUAAAUCAUCGAUAUACCUGUUCUUUUUCCAUAGCAUGCAUAGCGAGGGAUGGGAGAAACAAUUGUAGUACCCCAGAACUUUUGAAAACCCUGUGUGGCAUGUGUGCUUUGUAAUCCCAUGAUAUGCAAUGUUGGUCAGACUUCAGCAAGAAUUUUUUUUUUUUUAAAUCAUAGAUAAGCUUUAUUGGCAAUAAAAAAUGCAGUAGAUGGAUGAUUAUCAUAUGUGUCAUAUGUGUCCCAUUUAAUUAUGAACACUUUGAAUAACUUGCCUCCUUAGGUGGUUAUGCAAAACUUUGGUUUUAGUGGUUAUGCAGGACAUGAAUAAUGUAGACCUCCCUCUUAAUAACUUGUAAAAUAUGUUUACAGUGGAUACAAAAGUAGAUGCCUAAUUUUCUUAUGCAAGAAUGCAAUGAUGAAUAAUAUUGUGUUAUUUGCUUUAAAAGUUGAAGUGAAAAAUAGAUCCUUACUGCAUGAUGAAAUGUCUUCUAAAAUGCCAAAAUGUUGUAAUAUUUUGGUGCUUCUAUUACCAAGAAAUACCCUGGCAAGAAAAGUGAUCAAUGUUGUCUACAAAAUAUAAGUAUAAUAAAUGCCUUUUAAAUUUAUUUUAGUCUGUGGCUACAUAAAAAUUUAUUUAUACUUAUCAGAAAUUGAAAAAUAUACAACACUCAUUGUAAUAAUGUAAUUAAGCAAAACUAUAAUAAAGACCAUUAAUUGCAUUUGGUGUCCUACUUAAAUUAAGAUUUGCACUUUUAAGGACCCUAGUUUUAAAAGUCUUACAUUAUUUUUAUUAGAUGCCCAAAACAAUCAUGGACCAUAACGAGUAAAAUACUAUUCUGUCUAAAUAACUGUCGCAUUGUUUAUUGUUCUCUCCUUCUUCCAUAUUCACAUCCAGUAUAGUAAGUAUUAUUCCUGUGAUAUUUUACUAAUGUUUACUUUAGUAUUCCCUGGAGGGUCAUGUAUUUUAAAUACAUAUCAAUUAGACAGCUUCCCAAAAUGGUACUCUUGAGGGGCAGUGUUCUUUGCAUUUAUGCCAAUUUUCUCCUGCAACAGAUAAUACUUAUUAGUUUAGUUUCCCCAAUAUUUAGACAGAUAAAAAUUGUUUUGCCAAUAUUACUAAUGUUCAGCUGUUAUUCAUAACAUUGCCAGGAUUGUUCUUUUUUCUUUGUAAAAAUUCCCACCCCGGUGGUAAUAACUUAUAACCAAAUUGUGUCUAUAGUACAUUUGAACUGACACUCACGAUACUUUCUUGUAUUGAUACUCUUUGGAACAUAUCAUUUGUGUCUUUACAAUUGUCAUGAGAGGAUGUAGACUUGUACACAGCGAGAUAAUUUGGCUCAGCUGAAUAUUUUAUUUCUGAAAAUAGCACAUUUAUCGGCACACCCAAGUUCUGUUUGAAGGUCAGAACAGCUCGGCAGAAUCUCAGAUCAGAAGAGCAAAAAGAGGUGCAAUAAUGGUCCAAUCAGUAUGCUGCAAAAUAC
Molecule: long non-coding RNA, 1815 nt
Filed under: Pelobates cultripes (western spadefoot toad)
Lineage: Eukaryota; Metazoa; Chordata; Amphibia; Anura; Pelobatidae
Source: RNAcentral